Small nuclear RNA from Capra hircus (goat), 107 nucleotides. Lineage: Eukaryota; Metazoa; Chordata; Mammalia; Artiodactyla; Bovidae. The record is from Ensembl.
GUGCUCACUUCGGAAGCACAUAUACUAAAAUUGGAAUGAUACAGAGAAGAUUAGCAUGGCCCCUGUGCAAGGAUGACAUGCAAAAUCGUGACGCAUUCUAUAUUUUU